UAGGGAAUCUUCGGCAAUGGACGAAAGUCUGACCGAGCAACGCCGCGUGAGUGAAGAAGGUUUUCGGAUCGUAAAACUCUGUUGUUAGAGAAUAACAAUGACGUUAGUAACUGAACGUCCCCUGACGGUAUCUAACCAGAAAGCCACGGCUAACUACGUGCCAGCAGCCGCGGUAAUACGUAGGUGGCAAGCGUUGUCCGGUUUUAUUGGGUGUAAAGCGAGCGCAGUCGGUUUCUUAAGUCUGAUGUGAAAGCCCCCGGAUCAACCGGGGAGGGUCAGUGGAAACUGGGAGACUUGAGUGCAGAAGAGGGGAGUGGAAUUCCAUGUGUAGCGGUGAAAUGCGUAGAUAUAAGGAGGAAAACCAGUGGCGAAGGCGGCUCUCUGGUCUGUAACUGACGCUGAGGCUCGAAAGCGUGGGGAGCAAACAGG
RNAcentral lists this ribosomal RNA (429 nucleotides) under Gemmatimonadota bacterium. RNAcentral's name for it is "Gemmatimonadetes bacterium partial 16S ribosomal RNA". It matches the Rfam family "Bacterial small subunit ribosomal RNA", at positions 355 to 776 of the family's 1533-position model. The record is from RNAcentral. Lineage: Bacteria; Pseudomonadati; Gemmatimonadota.